Quercus lobata is the source of this 500-nucleotide long non-coding RNA. RefSeq lists it as uncharacterized. Lineage: Eukaryota; Viridiplantae; Streptophyta; Magnoliopsida; Fagales; Fagaceae. The transcript has 4 exons. The record is from RefSeq and is a predicted model, not a curated record.
CCCUACGAUGGUCUCUCUUUAGUCUCCGCCUCCCUCAGCUCUCUCUUUAUUCCUCAAAAACUUAAACCUCAUCCUUACAAGCCAGUUUCAAGCUAUUUGCUCCAUUUGUCUCUGUGUUUUUAACUAAAGAGCUCUGCUGCCUCUCUCUGGGGUUUCACUAUUUUGCAUUUUCGCAAAGGUUAUGGCCCAACUGGAUAUGCUUUAUUUGUAGCGGUUUAUGCAGGACUGGAAGUGGAAAAUAUUGGAGCAACUUUCACUUGAAGAUUGGAAAUGGAAGCUCUUUUGUAAUUACUUUAGCUUGUAAUUCUGAUGUUCAAUGAUCUGGAGAUAUCUUAGCAAGUUUUUCAUUCUUUAAUUUAGGUGAUGCGAUUUGCACAUUAAUUGUUUGGUCAAAAGUUGAGUUAAUGAAGUUGUACAUAGAGUUUUUCAAUACUUUAUCUGGGAUUUGUUGGGUAUUGGAUCUUAUAAACAGUGAAAACAAGGCUGAUUAGUUCUUUCUU